Molecule: ribosomal RNA, 702 nt
Filed under: Campeiostachys dahurica var. cylindrica
Lineage: Eukaryota; Viridiplantae; Streptophyta; Magnoliopsida; Poales; Poaceae
Description: eukaryotic LSU rRNA
Rfam family: 5.8S ribosomal RNA (bases 269-424)
Source: RNAcentral
UCGUAACAAGGUUUCCGUAGGUGAACCUGCGGAAGGAUCAUUGUCGUGACCCUGACCAAAACAGACCGCGCACGCGUCAUCCAAUCCGUCGGUGACGGCAUCGUCCGUCGCUCGGCCAAUGCCUCGACCACCUCCCCUCCUCGGAGUGGGUGGGGGCUCGGGGUAAAAGAACCCACGGCGCCGAAGGCGUCAAGGAACACUGUGCCUAACCCGGGGGCAUGGCUAGCUUGCUAGCCAUCCCUCGUUUGCAAAGCUAUUUAAUCCACACGACUCUCGGCAACGGAUAUCUCGGCUCUCGCAUCGAUGAAGAACGUAGCGAAAUGCGAUACCUGGUGUGAAUUGCAGAAUCCCGCGAACCAUCGAGUCUUUGAACGCAAGUUGCGCCCGAGGCCACUCGGCCGAGGGCACGCCUGCCUGGGCGUCACGCCAAAACACGCUCCCAACACCCCUCAUCGGGAAUCGGGAUGCGGCAUCUGGUCCCUCGUCUCGCAAGGGGCGGUGGACCGAAGAUCGGGCUGCCGGCGUACCGCGCCGGACACAGCGCAUGGUGGGCGUCCUCGCUUUAUCAACGCAGUGCAUCCGACGCGCAGCCGGCAUGAUGGCCUCAAAACGACCCAGCAAACGAAGCGCACGUCGCUUCGACCGCGACCCCAGGUCAGGCGGGACUACCCGCUGAGUUUAAGCAUAUCAAUAAGCGGAGGA